UCCCUAGGUGAACCUGCGGAAGGAUCAUUAAAGAAAUCGGGCGCUCGACUCUGAAAAAUUGAGAUCGGCCCCAUUUCUUAAACCACUUCACACUUGUGCACAUUUUUCCUACUUUCCUUCGGGAGAGUUUGAAAAGCUCUUGUGAUUUUAAACAAGUCCAGGAUGUGAAACCAAAUUGAAAAAGUUGUAAAACAACUACAAACGGUGGAUCUCUUGGCUCUCGUAUCGAUGAAGAACGCAGCGAAACGCGAAAAGUAAAGUGAAAUGCAGAAAUCAGUGAAUCAUCGAAACUUUGAACGCAUCUUGCACUCUCGAAACACUAUCGAGAGUAUGCCUGUUUGAGUGUCGCGAAACUCUCAACCCCCCCUCAUGCUUUAUUGCGUGUGGGUAGCUUGGGCUUGGAUCAUGAUCUUUGCAGUAAUGCGCUAGCAGAACUGCUGGAUUGAAAAACAACAAGCUGAAACUAUAUACUUGCGGCUUGACCUGUCGUUGUAAGCACACAAAAGCAUUCGAUGGGGACGCGAGAAAAAGGAAAGAGCUUUCCAAAAGUGUUACACUUUGCAGCUUCUAUUAACUUAGAGCUCUUAGUGCAUUCUGACCUCAAAACAGGUAGGAUUACCCCCUGAACUUAAGCAUAUCAAAAAGCGGAGGAAAAG
Molecule: ribosomal RNA, 656 nt
Filed under: Sterigmatomyces halophilus
Lineage: Eukaryota; Fungi; Basidiomycota; Agaricostilbomycetes; Agaricostilbales; Agaricostilbaceae
Description: eukaryotic LSU rRNA
Rfam family: 5.8S ribosomal RNA (bases 194-348)
Source: RNAcentral